RNAcentral lists this ribosomal RNA (253 nucleotides) under uncultured bacterium. RNAcentral describes it as "partial 16S ribosomal RNA". It matches the Rfam family "Bacterial small subunit ribosomal RNA", at positions 524 to 776 of the family's 1533-position model. The record is from RNAcentral.
UACAGAGGUCCCAAGCGUUGUUCGGAUUUACUGGGCGUAAAGGGUGCGUAGGCGGUGGGGUAAGUUUGAGGUGAAAGCUCCGGGCUCAACCCGGAAAAUGCCUUGAAAACUAUCCGGCUAGAGGGUUGGAGGGGAGACUGGAAUUCUCGGUGUAGCAGUGAAAUGCGUAGAUAUCUGGAGGAACACCGGUGGCGAAGGCGACAUCCUGGACCGGUAUUGACGCUGAGGCGCGAAAGCCAGGGGAGCAAACGGG